AACGAACGCUGGCGGCAUGCCUAACACAUGCAAGUCGAACGAGACCUUCGGGUCUAGUGGCGCACGGGUGCGUAACGCGUGGGAACCUGCCCUUAGGUUCGGAAUAACUCCCCGAAAGGGGUGCUAAUACCGGAUAAUGUCUUCGGACCAAAGAUUUAUCGCCUUUGGAUGGGCCCGCGUUGGAUUAGCUAGUUGGUAGGGUAAAAGCCUACCAAGGCGACGAUCCAUAGCUGGUCUGAGAGGAUGAUCAGCCACACUGGGACUGAGACACGGCCCAGACUCCUACGGGAAGCAGCAGUGGGGAAUAUUGGACAAUGGGCGAAAGCCUGAGCCAGCAAUGCCGCGUGAGUGAUGAAGGCCUUAGGGUUGUAAAGCUCUUUUACCCGGGAUGAUAAUGACAGUACCGGGAGAAUAAGCGCCGGCUAACUCCGUG
RNAcentral lists this ribosomal RNA (433 nucleotides) under uncultured bacterium. RNAcentral describes it as "partial 16S ribosomal RNA". It matches the Rfam family "Bacterial small subunit ribosomal RNA", at positions 29 to 507 of the family's 1533-position model. The record is from RNAcentral.